RNAcentral lists this ribosomal RNA (230 nucleotides) under uncultured eukaryote. RNAcentral describes it as "partial 18S ribosomal RNA". It matches the Rfam family "Eukaryotic small subunit ribosomal RNA", at positions 1208 to 1456 of the family's 1831-position model. The record is from RNAcentral.
GGAAAACUCACCAGGUCCAGACAUAGUAAGGAUUGACAGAUUGAUAGCUCUUUCUUGAUUCUAUGGGUGGUGGUGCAUGGCCGUUUUUAGUUGGUGGAGUGAUUUGUCUGCUUAAUUGCGUUAACGAACGAGACCUUAACCUGCUAAAUAGCAACAGCUAUCUCCGGAUAACUGUACUGCUUCUUAGAGGGACUUUGUGUUUUUCAGCGCAAGGAAGUUUGAGGCCACAA